Stegodyphus dumicola is the source of this 280-nucleotide long non-coding RNA. The record is from RefSeq and is a predicted model, not a curated record. Lineage: Eukaryota; Metazoa; Arthropoda; Arachnida; Araneae; Eresidae.
UUCCUCACUCUGGCUGAUAGCGGCGAAGUUUGUUUCCGAUCGCAAAGCUGGAAAAAAAGUUUUGGGGGAAACCGAGCGGUAGUUUGUUUUGUCGAAGUUCAAAAGUCCGGGAAGUUUUCGAUCGUGGAGUAUCGAGAAUUAAUUUGCUUUGUUGCAGAAAAGACCGGCUACCAAGAAAGAACUUGAAAAGAAGAGUAUGCAACAAGAACUACUGAGUAAGCAUUUUGAAGAUCCUUUAUUGCUUGAAAUAUACAAAAUGUUUCCAGUUUAUCCCAUCAAG